GACGAACGCUGGCGGCGUGCCUAAUACAUGCAAGUAGAACGCUGAAGGAGGAGCUUGCUCUUCUGGAUGAGUUGCGAACGGGUGAGUAACGCGUAGGUAACCUGCCUGGUAGCGGGGGAUAACUAUUGGAAACGAUAGCUAAUACCGCAUAACAGUAGAUGUUGCAUGACAUUUACUUAAAAGGUGCAAUUGCAUCACUACCAGACGGACCUGCGUUGUAUUAGCUAGUUGGUGGGGUAACGGCUCACCAAGGCGACGAUACAUAGCCGACCUGAGAGGGUGAUCGGCCACACUGGGACUGAGACACGGCCCAGACUCCUACGGGAGGCAGCAGUAGGGAAUCUUCGGCAAUGGACGGAAGUCUGACCGAGCAACGCCGCGUGAGUGAAGAAGGUUUUCGGAUCGUAAAGCUCUGUUGUAAGAGAAGAACGAGUGUGAGAGUGGAAAGUUCACACUGUGACGGUAUCUUACCAGAAAGGGACGGCUAACUACGU
This 494-nucleotide ribosomal RNA is filed under the name uncultured bacterium. RNAcentral describes it as "partial 16S ribosomal RNA". It matches the Rfam family "Bacterial small subunit ribosomal RNA", at positions 28 to 506 of the family's 1533-position model. The record is from RNAcentral.